This 257-nucleotide long non-coding RNA is filed under the name Elaeis guineensis (African oil palm). RNAcentral describes it as "long non-coding RNA (EGUI_LNC008405)". The record is from RNAcentral. Lineage: Eukaryota; Viridiplantae; Streptophyta; Magnoliopsida; Arecales; Arecaceae.
CAUCCCAACUUGAUGUGUCACUAUCUCUCCAUAUUCCUAGCAUAGCUCUUUCUUUGCUCUUUUGGGGUGAUUUUUGCAGCUAGUGAUAUUUUUUUUCUUUAUUCUCCUUCUUCAUAUCUUUCUCUUUGAGGAACUUUUUGAAUUUUCUUGUUAAAAGUGCCAAGUCCUCAUCAUCUUCACUCUCUUCUUCACGUUCUUUUUCAUCCGACUCAUCGCUUUCUUCAUAUUGUAAAGUGGACUUGAAGAUGAUGGUCUUC